This 254-nucleotide ribosomal RNA is filed under the name uncultured bacterium. Its description in RNAcentral is "partial 16S ribosomal RNA". It matches the Rfam family "Bacterial small subunit ribosomal RNA", at positions 524 to 776 of the family's 1533-position model. The record is from RNAcentral.
UACGGAGGGGGCUAGCGUUGUUCGGAAUUACUGGGCGUAAAGAGCUCGUAGGCGGUUCGGCAAGUCGGGUGUGAAAUUUCGAGGCUCAACCUCGAAACGCCACUCGAUACUGCUGUGACUGGAGUCCGGUAGAGGAGUGCGGAAUUCCUGGUGUAGCGGUGAAAUGCGCAGAUAUCAGGAAGAACACCAAUGGCGAAGGCAGCUCUCUGGGACGGUACUGACGCUGAGACGCGAAAGCGUGGGGAGCGAACAGG